Long non-coding RNA from Papio anubis (olive baboon), 2759 nucleotides. NCBI's taxonomy places the organism in Eukaryota, Metazoa, Chordata, Mammalia, Primates, Cercopithecidae. The record is from Ensembl.
AUGCUGAAUUCAAAGUGCAGGGAGGCAUUUGGGAUUUGUGUUCCUGGCAACUUGAGAGAGGAAUGGAGGAAGUCAAAGGGAGGAAGAGGAGCUGAUGUUGCAGUCCAAGAGGAAACAGGAGUGAGGGCAGGGAGCCCAGAAGAGGGUCAGGGUGAAGAUGGGUGUGGGGAAGGCAGAGCAAACCAGCUGCUGCUGUCAACCCGGACCUGUUUCCUCAAGCUCUGGGAGCCCUCCCAUCCCUGCUCUCAGCAACAGUGAUGCUGCCUUCGGGCGGCUGUGCAGCCAACCCACACUGAGUGAUAGCUGUCCCUGUCAUUUUCUUAAAUGUCACCAGUGAAAGAGACAUUUCCACCUCCCUGGAGUACACAUACUCCACGUGUGGAUAAGUGGACACUUGGUUCCAUUUUCACAGCUUCCAAAAAUUGGUCACAGAUGACUCACAAUUGUGUCAACUACCCUGGUAUAAGAAGCCAUAGAUGGAGGUAUACAGAAAUGAUUUUUUUUUUUAAAUGUAAUGUCCUUUCUAUGAGGCAGUAAAACAUCUUUCCUGCCAUUAGGAGAAAUGUGUUCUUUGAAUUAUUUUCACAGCCAUAAAGGCAGACCUGUGAAAGGCUAUUUGUACUGGAUAGUUCUCUGCUUUCAUGGAUUUUAUUCAGAAUUGUCCAUUCUUGGAAAUGUUGGGGAAAGAGAAGAGAAAAAGAGAACAAAUAUAUGUUGAAUUAGUUAGUGUAAAUUAUAAUUCAUAAGCUGCAGUGUCCAAGCAAUAUUACCUUCCACAUAUUCUUGAAUAGCUUGGUUCCUAUUUUUGAGCCCCUGCCUGGUGCCAGGAACUUGUUUUCAGCUAAUUCAGGGUUUCUGCCCCCAUUUUCCUUGGAGGAAUAGCUAAGUUCUUUGGGGAUAUUGCUGGUGUCAAGCAUGAAGCUGUUGGAGGACAGGGAGGCUUUGGCAUCUGGUCCUCAGCAUCACGUAAAUCCUAUCAGAACUUAGAGGUGAAAUGGGAAGGAUUGUUGAUCUCCUGCCCCACCAGCUGCUGGGAUGUCCCUUACUCCCAUUCACAAGGUCUGUUUGUGUCACUCUAGGUCAUUUUGCUCUCCUGAGCCCGUCUGGGAACCACUUUGAAGCUGUUUGAGUCCAGAGCCAUGGCCCAGGCCUCUCGUGGUAUGCGAUCCUGCUGUGUUCCCUCAGCUGGAUCAGGGGCACUGGGCAGCGCCUUCCCCUCUCCUGGCCUAUUCUCAGGCACACCUAAGUGAUCUUAUUUCAUCUUGACCCUAACCUUGGAUAUUUGAAGUAGAAUUAUUCAUUUACAAAGGAGGAAAAUGAGAUUCAGAGAAGCUAAAUACAUGCCAAAGCCACGUAACUGCAAGUGGCAGAGCUCAGUUUGCUUUCCAAACUCAUGCGGCUCCCUUCAUCACUGUGACUCACCCACUUUAUCCCCCAACUUCAAGGAAGUCUCCUCUGAUCACCCAAGAAUAAUGUCUGCCUCCUUAGAAAUUUUGUGGCGGGCCGGGCGCGGUGGCUCAAGCCUGUAAUCCCAGCACUUUGGGAGGCCGAGACGGGUGGAUCACGAGGUCAGGAGAACGAGACCAUCCUGGCUAACAUGGUGAAACCCCGUCUCUACUAAAAAAUAACAAAAAACUAGCCGGGCGAUGUGGCGGACGCCUGUAGUCCCAGCUACUCGGGAGGCUGAGGCAGGAGAAUGGCGUGAACCCGGGAGGCGAAGCUUGCAGUGAGCUGAGAUCCGGCCACUGCACUCCAGCCUGGGCGACAGAGCAAGACUCCGUCUCAAAAAAAAAAAAAAAAAAAAAAGAAAUUUUGUGGCCAUUGCUGUUUCAAUUUUGGGAGUGACAUCUAAUUGUCACACAAUGUUUCACACGCUAGCUAUCUGUGCUCAUAUCUAGACAAGCCUGCUUAGGUGGUGGCUCCUGGAAAGCAAAGACCACUUCUUGUGUUUGUCUCUAUCCCGUCUACUAGCACCACACUCUGUACAUGGUAAAUGUGUAAUAUGUAAUUGAUUAUAAUAAAAAUAUGUGUUAAAAAUUAGUAAAUGGAUGAGCACAUUCUCUCUAUAAGAAUGUGUUCUAUUUGUGUGGUUACACUGCAGUUAUAGGCUAGUUAACAAUGCAUGACCUAUGGAUGUCUGCCCUUGUUCUUGCUUUUUAGUUCCAUAGUCCUUAAUCCACACUGUACUUUGAAGGGCAUAUAGGUCCAGCAGUGAUGUGGCUUUAUCUCAUGCCUACUCUCCUGUUCUACUUAUAGAAUCUGCUGUCCACUGACUUUUUAAUUUCUCAAUUUUCUGACUCCAUGCCCAGGCUCCAGAUAUAGGCCUCUAUGCUCUUCUUUUUAAAGACAAGUCAUUUGGACCCUUACUUGCAGCCUUUCUUGCCCUGUGGUAAGAUUGAAUCUCAACUCGGCAUGCUCCCUCAGUUUCCAGGGCACCUGGGAUUCUGGAAACAGACAGGGUCUGUGCCCACAUCAGCCUGGUGAUAUUCUCACUGGCUGGGAGUAUACUUGCCAGUGCCCUCAUCUUCCCACAGGACAGAAGGAUUAUUAUAUGGUGAACAUAUGGAGUGUUCCCAGCGUGCCUCUUAAAAAAUCCCAAUAACUGGUUCAAUGGUACAGCAUAGAAAUGCCUAAUUGAAUUUUUAAAAAUAGUUUAGAUUAAAAUCUAUUUAGAAAAGAGGGAAAUGAUAUAUUUUCUUAUAUAUGCUAUGGCAAAGUUUAAUAUCCAAGGAUAAUCCCUAUAGAAUUGUUAGAUCUAU